RNAcentral lists this ribosomal RNA (468 nucleotides) under uncultured bacterium. Its description in RNAcentral is "partial 16S ribosomal RNA". It matches the Rfam family "Bacterial small subunit ribosomal RNA", at positions 28 to 507 of the family's 1533-position model. The record is from RNAcentral.
GACGAACGCUGGCGGCGUGCUUAACACAUGCAAGUCGAACGGAAAGGCCCUGCUUUUGUGGGGUGCUCGAGUGGCGAACGGGUGAGUAACACGUGAGUAACCUGCCCUUGACUUUGGGAUAACUUCAGGAAACUGGGGCUAAUACCGGAUAGGAGCUCCUGCUGCAUGGUGGGGGUUGGAAAGUUUCGGCGGUUGGGGAUGGAUUCGCGGCUUAUCAGCUUGUUGGUGGGGUAGUGGCUUACCAAGGCUUUGACGGGUAGCCGGCCUGAGAGGGUGACCGGCCACAAUGGGACUGCGAUACGGCCCAGACUCCUACGGGAGGCAGAAGUGGGGAAUAUUGCACAAUGGGCGGAAGCCUGAUGCAGCAACGCCGCGUGCGGGAUGACGGCCUUCGGGUUGUAAACCGCUUUCGCCUGUGACGAAGCGUGAGUGACGGUAAUGGGUAAAGAAGCACCGGCUAACUACGUG